This 433-nucleotide ribosomal RNA is filed under the name uncultured bacterium. RNAcentral's name for it is "partial 16S ribosomal RNA". It matches the Rfam family "Bacterial small subunit ribosomal RNA", at positions 29 to 507 of the family's 1533-position model. The record is from RNAcentral.
AACGAACGCUGGCGGCAUGCCUAACACAUGCAAGUCGAACGACACCUCCGUGUCUAGUUGCGCACGGGUGCGUCACGCGUGGGAACCUGCCCUUAUGCUCGGAAUAACUCCCCGACAGGGGUGCUAAUACCGGAUAAUUUCUUCUGACCAAAGAUUUGUCGCGCUUGGAUGGGCCCGCGUUGGUUUAGCUAGUUGGUAGUGUAAAAGCCUACCAAGGGUACGCUCGAUAGCUGGUCUGAGAGGAUGAUCAGCCACACUGAGAGUGAGACACGGCCCAGACUACUACGGGAGGCAGCAGUGGGGAAUAUAGGAAAACGGGGUAAAGGAUGAAGGAGUAAUGCCGGGUGAGUGAUGAAGGUGUUAGGGAAGUAAAGCUGGUUUAUCCGGGAUGAUAAUGACAGUACCGGGAGAAUAAGCACCGGCUAACUCCGUG